This 731-nucleotide ribosomal RNA is filed under the name uncultured bacterium. Its description in RNAcentral is "bacterial SSU rRNA". It matches the Rfam family "Bacterial small subunit ribosomal RNA", at positions 61 to 793 of the family's 1533-position model. The record is from RNAcentral.
GUCGAGGGGUAUAUGUCUUCGGAUAUAGAGACCGGCGCACGGGUGCGUAACGCGUAUGCAAUCUACCUUUCACAGAGGGAUAGCCCAGAGAAAUUUGGAUUAAUACCUCAUAGUAUUAUUGAGUGGCAUCACUUAAUAAUUAAAGUCACAACGGUGAAAGAUGAGCAUGCGUCCCAUUAGCUAGUUGGUAAGGUAACGGCUUACCAAGGCAACGAUGGGUAGGGGUCCUGAGAGGGAGAUCCCCCACACUGGUACUGAGACACGGACCAGACUCCUACGGGAGGCAGCAGUGAGGAAUAUUGGACAAUGGGCGCAAGCCUGAUCCAGCCAUGCCGCGUGCAGGAUGACGGUCCUAUGGAUUGUAAACUGCUUUUGUACGAGAAGAAACACUGCUUCGUGAAGCAGCUUGACGGUAUCGUAAGAAUAAGGAUCGGCUAACUCCGUGCCAGCAGCCGCGGUAAUACGGAGGAUCCAAGCGUUAUCCGGAAUCAUUGGGUUUAAAGGGUCCGUAGGCGGUUUAGUAAGUCAGUGGUGAAAGCCCAUCGCUCAACGGUGGAACGGCCAUUGAUACUGCUGAACUUGAAUUAUUAGGAAGUAACUAGAAUAUGUAGUGUAGCGGUGAAAUGCUUAGAGAUUACAUGGAAUACCAANUGCGAAGGCAGGUUACUACUAAUUNNUUGACGCUGAUGGACGAAAGCGUGGGGAGCGAACAGGAUUAGAUACCCUGGUAG